RNAcentral lists this ribosomal RNA (470 nucleotides) under uncultured bacterium. RNAcentral describes it as "bacterial SSU rRNA". It matches the Rfam family "Bacterial small subunit ribosomal RNA", at positions 28 to 524 of the family's 1533-position model. The record is from RNAcentral.
GACAAACGCUGGCGGCGUGCCUAAGACAUGCAAGUCGGACGGGGAGCGCAAGCUUCCAGUGGCGGACGGGUGAGGAGCGCGUGGAGAACCUGCCCCGGGGUGGGGGAUACCCUCCAGAAAUGGAGGUUAAGACCGCAUACGAUCCGCUGGCGAAGGCUGGUGGAGGAAAGCCGCAAGGCGCCCUGGGAGGGGUCCGCGUCGGAUUAGCUGGUUGGUGGGGUAACGGCUCACCAAGGCGACGAUCCGAGCUGGUCUGAGAGGACGGCCAGCCACACUGGGACUGAGACACGGCCCAGACUCCUACGGGAGGCAGCAGUUAGGGAAUUUUGACAAUGGGCGCAAGCCUGAUCGAGUGACGCCGCGUGCGGGAGGACGCCUUUUCGGGGUGUAAACCGCUUUUCUGGGGGACGAGCAAGGACGGUACCCCAGGAAGAAGUCUCGGCUAACUACGUGCCAGCCGCCGCCGUAAC